GGAGCUGUGGCUAUGACUGAGGCAGAAAUUUGUGAGAGAGUUUUGGGACAAAAAUCAGGAUAUGUCAAGGGCCUUGGUUUUGGCCCUAAACCAAUCUCAUUUUCUAAAUCUAGACCAUCAUCUUCUGAGCAUGAAAUUGAGUUGGAGCAUAGACUUGUUGAGACUCAACUACUUGUGGAGACUCAACAACAACAACUUGAGACUCAACAAUAUCGAAUUGAC
This 222-nucleotide long non-coding RNA is filed under the name Vitis vinifera (wine grape). Its description in RNAcentral is "long non-coding RNA (VVIN_LNC003623)". Lineage: Eukaryota; Viridiplantae; Streptophyta; Magnoliopsida; Vitales; Vitaceae. The record is from RNAcentral.